CCUACGGGAGGCAGCAGUGAGGAAUAUUGGUCAAUGGCCGGAAGGCUGAACCAGCCAAGCCGCGUGAAGGACGAAGGUGCCAAGCAUUGUAAACUUCUUUUGUCAAGGGACAAAAUCAGGCUCGAGAGCCUGACCGAGGGUACUUGAAGAAAAAGCAUCGGCUAACUCCGUGCCAGCAGCCGCGGUAAGAUGGGGGAUGCGAGCGUUAUCCGGAUUUAUGGGGUUGAAAGGGUGCGUAGGCGGGCUGUUAAGUCAGCGGUAAAAGCCCGGGGCUCAACCCCGGCGAGCCGUUGAAACUGGCUGUCUUGAGAUGUCGAGAGGUAUGCGGAAUGCGCAGUGUAGCGGUGAAAUGCUUAGAUAUAGCGCAGAACUCCGAUUGCGAAGGCGGCAUACCGGCGGCGAUCUGACGCUGAGGCACGAAAGCGUGGGUAUCGAACAGGAUUAGAUACCCUUGUAGUC
Molecule: ribosomal RNA, 459 nt
Filed under: uncultured bacterium
Lineage: Bacteria
Description: partial 16S ribosomal RNA
Rfam family: Bacterial small subunit ribosomal RNA
Source: RNAcentral